GAUGAACGCUGGCGGCGUGCCUAAUACAUGCAAGUCGAGCGAACAGACGAGGAGCUUGCUCCUCUGACGUUAGCGGCGGACGGGUGAGUAACACGUGGAUAACCUACCUAUAAGACUGGGAUAACUUCGGGAAACCGGAGCUAAUACCGGAUAAUAUAUUGAACCGCAUGGUUCAAUAGUGAAAGACGGUUUUGCUGUCACUUAUAGAUGGAUCCGCGCCGCAUUAGCUAGUUGGUAAGGUAACGGCUUACCAAGGCAACGAUGCGUAGCCGACCUGAGAGGGUGAUCGGCCACACUGGAACUGAGACACGGUCCAGACUCCUACGGGAGGCAGCAGUAGGGAAUCUUCCGCAGUGGGCGAAAGCCUGACGGAGCAACGCCGCGUGAGUGAUGAAGGUCUUCGGAUCGUAAAACUCUGUUAUUAGGGGAGAACAAAUGUGUAAGUAACUAUGCACGUCUUGACGGUACCUAAUCAGAAAGCCACGGCUAACUACGUG
RNAcentral lists this ribosomal RNA (497 nucleotides) under uncultured bacterium. RNAcentral's name for it is "partial 16S ribosomal RNA". It matches the Rfam family "Bacterial small subunit ribosomal RNA", at positions 28 to 507 of the family's 1533-position model. The record is from RNAcentral.